Molecule: ribosomal RNA, 442 nt
Filed under: uncultured bacterium
Lineage: Bacteria
Description: partial 16S ribosomal RNA
Rfam family: Bacterial small subunit ribosomal RNA
Source: RNAcentral
CCUACGGGGUGCAGCAGUGAGGAAUAUUGGUCAAUGGGCGGAAGCCUGAACCAGCCAAGUAGCGUGAAGGAAGAAGGCUUUCGGGUUGUAAACUUCUUUUAAGGGGGAAGAGCAGAAGACGGUACCCCUUGAAUAAGCCACGGCUAACUACGUGCCAGCAGCCGCGGUAAUACGUAGGUGGCAAGCGUUGUCCGGAUUUACUGGGUGUAAAGGGCGUGCAGCCGGAGAGACAAGUCAGAUGUGAAAUCCACGGGCUCAACCCGUGAACUGCAUUUGAAACUGUUUCCCUUGAGUGUCGGAGAGGUAAUCGGAAUUCCUUGUGUAGCGGUGAAAUGCGUAGAUAUAAGGAAGAACACCAGUGGCGAAGGCGGAUUACUGGACGAUAACUGACGGUGAGGCGCGAAAGCGUGGGGAGCAAACAGGAUUAGAUACCCGGGUAGUC